Molecule: ribosomal RNA, 482 nt
Filed under: uncultured bacterium
Lineage: Bacteria
Description: partial 16S ribosomal RNA
Rfam family: Bacterial small subunit ribosomal RNA
Source: RNAcentral
GAUGAACGCUAGCGGCAGGCCUAAUACAUGCAAGUCGGACGGGAUUCAGGAGCUUGCUUCUGAUGAGAGUGGCGCACGGGUGCGUAACACGUAUGUAACCUACCUUUAUCAGGGGGAUAGCCUCUCGAAAGAGAGAUUAAGCCCGCAUAAAAUCACAGCACAGCAUUGUGUAAUGAUCAAAUAUUUAUAGGAUAAAGAUGGGCAUGCGGAACAUUAGCUAGAUGGCGGGGUAACGGCCCACCAUGGCGACGAUGUUUAGGGGAUCUGAGAGGAUGGCCCCCCACACGGGUACUGAGACACGGACCAGACUCCUACGGGAGGCAGCAGUAAGGAAUAUUGGUCAAUGGGCGGAAGCCUGAACCAGCCAUGCCGCGUGCAGGAAGACGGCCCUACGGGUUGUAAACUGCUUUUAGACGGGAAUAAACCCAGAUACGUGUAUCUGGCUGAAUGUACUGUAAGAAUAAGGAUCGGCUAACUCCGUG